AAAAGAAUGGGAUAAUAUGUCUCAUAAUGGUGUCAGGACAAACACACAAAGUUACAACACAUAGUUUACCUUGAGAUCAGGUGUAGUAUUGUAGUACAUGUUCAAACAUGUACUCUUGAACAUCCAAAUAUUUGCCCAAUGAUACAUUUCUUGGUCUUUAGCUGGUAGGUCGUUGAUACAUCAACCAUUAGUAUUCUGCACACACAAUUAGGACUAUUUGUCCAAAACUGUGUUUUGUUCAAAACAGGAUAUCUGCUUGUGUGCAAUCGAUCUAUCACCCAUCAUUAUCUCUACAAAUGAUAUGGAAUCUAGGACUACUUAUCCAACAAUAGUUGUGUGUCCCCAUUGACAGCUUCAUCAUUACUCCUCCAUUCAUUUAAUUUCUUUGAGACCCUGUUAUUAUCAUAAACACCAUGAACCUUAUAAUGCCACACCAUCUUCGAUACGUCAUCCUGUGGUGAACUUAUCUCCCGUCGUUUGAUUGUCUUGUGAAGUUCGCAGAAGAACUUUGGAUCUUGCAGUUUGAUAUACUCAUGCAAUACAAGCUCGUGGUGAGGUACCCAGUUUCUAGGGAAAGUUGUAUAAUCACAUGAUGGAAUUGAUGACAUGCGUGCAAAUUGUACACCCUCAAUAAUAUCAACAACUCCCAUCCUCAAGAGAUCAGAGUAUUCUGGUGCAUCAUUGUUUGUGCUCUCCCUCAACGGGCGGCUGAGAUCACGGGAUGCAAUCUUGUAAACCUUAGCACGGGAUUUUAGUCUAUACCUUGCCGCAUAAAGCUUUGCCAAAGAGCUCCGUAUAACAUAUGCGCAGAACCCUACAAUCUUCUUCCGGUUGUCCGCAUACCUAUACCAAUCAGCCAUGGUCUCAAGAAAUUUGUUCAUUUGAGAAUUAGUGUGUGCCUGCCCAGAGUAGAGCAUUGGUGAACACGGUAAUGGCUCAGGAUCCCUGUCCCCCUUUACAAGCUCAAGCUUUCUGAAAUGCCUUAUGCACCUCUGCAAGCUUGCUGUGACAGAUAACAAUGUUCCAAUACCUUUCUCACUCACAAUGUUCCCUCCACUGGCGGUGUACAGUGGCGGAGCCAGGAAUAUUUUUUAGGUGUGGCAGAGUUUGUGAGGGGAAAAAACAACGUAGUAACAUAUAACUAUGUGAUGUUCCUGCUUGCUGCAUCUCUUGACGGUGAUCGCUGCCAUGCCCACCACGCUGACUAAAGAUCGCGUGGUUGCUCUGUAAUCGCUGCCUCUGUUGCAUGCCUUAGGGGUUAGCCGACUAGAGGUCGGUCGGUCGGUCGGUAGUAGGGACAAAUAUCACAACAAGACAUACAUUGUCAUGAGUUUGGAGGAGUAGCCGUUGCUCCUAGUUGUAUAUUGUAAUACCUCAGACGAUUUGAGUCCGAUUAGAUCUAGUUUCUUCACCGGAGAGACGGAAAGCGGUGAGGCUCUGGGUUUCGCGGAGUUGGCACUGCUCAUCACACAGCUAGAGACAAGCUUGAGGGGCGACUGCAAGGCGAUUCCUGAUCAACCGUGCUUGAACGAAACAGCUCGUGUAUCUCCAAUCAACUAGUACAUUUUUUUAGCAUGUCCAAUCAACUAGAGUACAUGUGAAUUGAUUUGCAAUUGACUGCCAAUGGUGUCCUCGUUUAGAACAUGGGCUUGUGGGUCAUGGGCUUAUGUGAUGCAAGUCACCUAUAUUGCUUAAUUCUCUCCUUCAGCGGCAGUUAGGCCUCUAAUGAGGCAGAAACACGUAGGUAACAAUACAACUACCUGGCGAAAUACAUUCGAGGCCAUGAGUUGCCUGCCCCCUGCGAGUAUUCAUCCUCCAAAUUGACGAAACUGACCAAAAAUCCAUUGACUCAGCUCAAAGCUUCAUACAUACAGUAUAUAUAUGCAAUACUUUUGCCAAAUUUUAGGUAUGGCGGCUGCCAAACCUCGCCAUAUAGCUGGAUCCGCCCCUGGCGGUGUAUCGCAAGGUCGGGUAGAUGACCCGGCGGGCAAUGACAUGAUCCAAGAAUUCAAUCCCCCUUGUGAUGUGCUCAAUCUCCACCGACGAAUUCUCUGGCCUCAAACCAAAUGUUCUCUCACAAAACUCCAUCAGUUGCCUCCUUAUCUCAACCGCAUCCUCCCUCGGCCCCCGGACCCCAAUCAAGACAUGAGAGCCAAAUCUAAGGAAAUCCAUCUUCCUGGUCUUCUCCCUCCCACUUGACGGAACAAACUCAGGCCAAGAUGGAUUAUGACAUCCCUCAUCGCCCGCCUCCUUCCAUAUCGAAUCAUGCCUUGACGGGCGGAAGUACUCGUUAAUCCUCUCCUCCAUCCACCAAUCCAACUCAUUAAGGCACACAUUGGCGAGCAAUGGACUAAUUAUCCCGCAAUGCCCAUAUUCCGGCACGUGACACGCCUGUUCUGGAGCGAACCCAAAGAACAGUCUCAGCCAAUAUGGGUCUGGCUUUGGCUCAUCCUCAUUAAGCACCUUCUUCUUCCUGCUCUUCCUGAGCACCUUCCUUUUCAGCCUCUUCUUGCUUAGCCCAUCGAGAUCCUUCUCCCUUGGAGGCACAGACCCGGGCCGGACUGGGGCGUUGAGCGCCGACUUGAGCAAAGACAGCACCUUGCGAUCAGAGACGGCCUUCUCCACACAGGACAGAAUGGUGUCUGACGAUAAGGCGUCGACCACGGUUGUGAGGUCUGCAGUGAUGAACCAGAGGUAGCCGGCAAAGCCGGAGCGAACGGAGCGGAUGGCAGUGUGGGGCCCGCGUCCAGGGCGGAAGGCGUGGGACUUGGGGGAGAACCGGGGCUCGAAGACGGGUUCGAGGAGCAGGAGGAGGAGCUCCUGGACGACGUGGUCCUGGAAGGGGGGCGGGGCGUUGGCUAGGCGGGCAGUGAGCUUGCGGCGGGAGACGGGGACGGUGGAGGGGGCGUCGGCGGGGGAGCGGAGGAGGAGGUGGGUGGAGGCGCCNNNNNNNNNNNNNNNNNNNNNNNNNNNNNNNNNNNNNNNNNNNNNNNNNNNNNNNNNNNNNNNNNNNNNNNNNNNNNNNNNNNNNNNNNNNNNNNNNNNNNNNNNNNNNNNNNNNNNNNNNNNNNNNNNNNNNNNNNNNNNNNNNNNNNNNNNNNNNNNNNNNNNNNNNNNNNNNNNNNNNNNNNNNNNNNNNNNNNNNNNNNNNNNNNNNNNNNNNNNNNNNNNNNNNNNNNNNNNNNNNNNNNNNNNNNNNNNNNNNNNNNNNNNNNNNNNNNNNNNNNNNNNNNNNNNNNNNNNNNNNNNNNNNNNNNNNNNNNNNNNNNNNNNNNNNNNNNNNNNNNNNNNNNNNNNNNNNNNNNNNNNNNNNNNNNNNNNNNNNNNNNNNNNNNNNNNNNNNNNNNNNNNNNNNNNNNNNNNNNNNNNNNNNNNNNNNNNNNNNNNNNNNNNNNNNNNNNNNNNNNNNNNNNNNNNNNNNNNNNNNNNNNNNNNNNNGGGCGGGUGCGCGAAGGCGCGGCGCCACAGCGAGGAGAGGAGGUCGAUGGGGUCGUGGACGAGGAGAGCGUAGGGGUCGGGUAGGGGGCUCCGGUCGGCUGGUGGAGGCGGCGCGGGGCGGCGCCGGAUAGGUUGGAUGCCGGCGGUGGGGAGAAGACGGCGAAGCGCUGCGCGCGGCGGCGGCAUCGGAGGGGAGGUUUUUGUUCGAACAGGUGGUGGGCGGUGACUGUGACUACACACACUCGGGUGGCCUGAGAGUAUGGCUAGGCUAGGCGUCGGCCAAACCUGGCCACAUGGGCCGGCCCGGCUGUAAAAGGGAUAGGCCCGUGUCGGCCUAAAAGCUUGGCCAUAGGGAUAGGCCCGACAUGCCUGAAGGCCGGCCUAGCACUGUACGGCUACAGGCCGGGCUACAAUGUUUCUCGGUCUUUCAGGCCGUUUGUUUUUCGAAAAUUCAGGAAAAACUGAAAAAUAAGAAAAAAAUAUACAAAAUAAUCUAAAAUUUUAAAAAAGAGAAAGAUACAGAAAAUUGAAAAGGCUAAAAAAAUACCCAAAAAACUUAAAAAGUAUAGAUAAAUGCUAGUUACGUGCCGAGGAGUGCCGUGUUGGCAAGCAACUAAAAGGUUUGUGUUGCGCCCGGCCUUAAGGCUUGGCUUUUAGGAUCUGCCUGGUUCCGUGGCAGGCUGAAGGCCAGUCUUGACCUUUUUAAUGGCGUGCGCCGGGCACAUGUCGGGCUGAAAUUUCGUGCACGCGAGGCACGACCCAUAUGCCCAGGUUUGGUGUCUGGUGAUAAUUUCACCGAUCGGCUAUCUCCAGAGCCAUCCAAUCUAACGUAGUAGCCAUUGUCGACGACUUAACCGACAUGCUCGACUUCGACUCCGACGACUUCGAUGGUAUAGAUGAUGAAGCCGGAGAGGAACAAGAUCCACCGCCUUUGGGGCACUGGCUCGCCACCUCAUCACAUGAUAUAUACAUGGUGGACACCCCCAAAGAAACCAAUGAUGACGAGACAACGGAGGAUGACCCCUCCAAGAAGCAACCCAAGCGUCGACGUCAGCGGCGCCGCUCUAAGUCCCGCCACAGCAAGAGCAGUGAUACCGGCACAGGAGAUAAUAACACUCCGGAUAGCGCCAAAGACAACAACAAUCCCCUCUGGCACGGUGUAGAGUUAGAGGACGAACAAGCUAGCCCUCCAGAGCAGGCAGCAGAUGGAGAACCGGAGGAGGAUAAUUGCAUGCCUCUCUCUGAAGACGAGGCGAGCCUCGGCGACGAUGAGUUUAUCGUGCCUAAGGACCCCGUCGAGCAAGAGCGCUUCAAGCGCCGGCUUAUGGCCACGGCAAAUAGCCUGAAGAAAAAACAGCAACAGCUUCAAGCCGAUCAAGACUUGCUAGCAGACAGAUGGACCGAAGUCCUUGCGGCCAAGGAGCAUGAACUCGAGCGCCCGUCCAAAAGUUACCCAAAACGCAGGUUGUCACCUCACCUCGAGGAGGAAGCAUUGAAACCUCAUUCACCAGUGUACGAUGCGGCUGACCGGCCACUACGCGGCCGAGCCAGAGAGGCGUUUUAGCCUAAAGUUCAGACCGCACCCCGUCGCCACUCAGUCAAAAAUACUAAGGCCCGGGGUAACACAGAGGACCUGCGAGACAUCUUGGACAGUAAGGCAAAAAUCGCAAGGUCAAUAUACGGGACACGGGCACGUGCACACGGGACGAUGAUCAUCGCGUCGGAUACACCAAGAGCAAAUCCGGCCGGGCCGAAUACAGCAAACAAGACUCAUACGAACUACGUCGAGAUAUAGCCCAGCACAGAGGUGCCGCACGCCCCCUAUGCUUCACUGAUGAAGUUAUGAAUCAUGAAUUCCCGAAGGGUUUUGUAACGCCCUCGAUGCGGCUAUAUCUCCCACGUGUCAAAGCACGACUUAGAGGCAUAACCACAUUGAAAGCAAUGUCGCAAGUGAGGUAAUCUUCACACAACCCAUGUAAUACAUAAGGGAAAGAGAUACAUAGUUGGCUUACAAUCGCCACUUCACACAAUACAUGAAUAAGCAUUACAUCAUCCAGAUACAAUCAAGGUCCAACUAUGGAACCAAAAUAAAAGAAGACUACCCCAAAAGCUACACAGAUCCCCGAUCAUCCCCAACUGGGCUCCACUACUGAUCAACUAGAACGAAACAACACAAAGGACAAGAUCUUCAUUGAGCUCCUCCUUGAGCUGGGUUGCGUCAUCUGCAUGGACUCAUCAGCACCUGCAAGCUAGUUUUGGAAGUAUCUGUGAGUCACGGGGACUCAGCAAUCUCGCAUCCUCGCGAUCAAGACUAUUUUAGCUUAUGGGUAAGAUAAAGGUAUGAGGUGGAGCUGCAGCAAGCGACUAGCAUAUAUGGUGGCUAACAUAUUCGCAAAAGAGAGCGAGAAGAGAAGGCAAAGCACGGUCGAACAACUAUGAUCAAGAAGUGAUCCUAGAACAACCUACGUCAAGCAUUACUCCAACACCGUGUUCACUUCUCGGACUCCGCCGGAAAGAGACCAUCACGGUUACACACGCGGUUGAUGUAUUUUAAUUAAGAUCAACUUCAGGUUUUCUACAACCGGACAUUAACAAAUUCCCAUCUGCCCAUAACCGCGGGCACGGCUUUCGAAAGUUCAUAACCCUGCAGGGGUGUCCCAACUUAGCCCAUGACAAGCUCUCACGGUUAACGAAGGAUAUACCUUCUCCCGAGACAUUCCGAUCAGACUCGGUAUCCCGGUUCUACAAGACACUUCGACAAGUUAAAACAAAUCCAGCAACACUGCCUGAAUGUGCCGACAAAUCCUGAUAGGAGCUGCACAUAUCUCGUUCUCAGGGCACACUCAGAUGAGACAUCCUACGAGUAAAACCAAACCUCAAGUUGCCCCGAGGUGGUCCCGCAGUCUGUUCGGUCAGACCAACACUCAAAGGAGCACUGGCCCGGGGGGGGGUUAAAAUAAUGAUGACCCUUGAGUCUGCAGAACCCAAGCGAAAAAGAGGCUUGGUGGCGAAUGGUAAAACCAAUGUUGGGCAUUGCUGGAAGAGUUUUAUCAAGGCAAACUGUCAAGGGGUUCCCAUUAUUACCCAACCGCAUAAGGAACGCAAAAUCUGGGAACAUAACACCGAUAUGACGAAAACUAGGGCGACAAGAGUGGAACAAAACACCAGGCAUAAGGCCGAGCCUUCCAUCCUUUACCAAGUAUAUAGAUGCAUUAAUUAAAUAAGAUAUAUUGUGAUAUCCCAACAAGUAAACAUGUUCCAACAAGGAACAACAUCUCCAUGUUCCAACAAGGAACAAACUUCAAUCUUCACCUGCAACUAAGAAUGCUAUAAGAGGGGUUGAGCAAAGCGGUAACAUAGCCAAACAACGGCUUGCUAGGACAAGGUGGGUUAGGGGCUUGGUUCAACAAUAUAGGAGGCAUGAUAAGCAAGUGGUAGGUAUCGCAGCAUAGACAUAGCGAAAGAGCGAGCAACUAGCAAGCAAAGAUAGAAGUGAUUUCGAGGGUAUGAUCAUCUUGCCUGAAAUCCUGCAAGGAAGAAGAACGAGUCAUGAAGAAGACACACGGACGAAGUCGAACGGAUCCUCACAAACGUGACGUUACCGGAACCAACCCGAAGAAGCAAACACCGGAAAGAAGCACACAACAUAGUAAACAACCAUUACAUAAGCAUGGCACGAUGCGCAAACAAGUAUGAUGCAUGUCCGGUUUAAAUAUGCAUGUCAUGGCAAGGGGCACAAACGAAACUACAAGUUAAGUGGAGCUCAAUAUGCAACGAGUUGCAUAUUGACGGAACACCACAUCAAUUAUUUAGUUCUCUCUCGUUUAUGUACCCAACAAGAUUAAAUGUUGUUAGCAUGGCAAGAGGGUGAAGCAUAAUAAAACUAUCUAAUCUAGGCAAGUUUAAAUGAGGCCGGAACAACAAAACAACAAGUCGGGAAACUCCUCAUGAGCAUAUUAUAGAUUUGGUACUGUUCUGUCCUAAACAAUAUUUUAGAGUUGUUAAACAUGCAAAGUAAAGCCACGAUGUUAAGCUAGGCAUUUUUCUACCCCAUUUACAUAUAAAGAUUAUUUAAGUUUGGAGCUACGGUUAUUAAGUUAUGAAUUAAAUCAUUUUAAUAUGGCAUAAGAGCAAAUUUAAAGAAACAACAUUUUAAACGUUUUUAACAUGGAUGAAAAUUGCAAAUUAUUAAUCUACACAAAAUUCUAAGCAUUUUACAUAUAUAAAGUAUUUUAAUCCGAUGCACGGUUGUGGAGUUAUUAGCAUUUUGAAACGAUGGCAUUUAGUGAAAUUAUGCAUGCCAUGAAAAGAUCUAAAAUCGUCUCACACUAAAAAUAAAAGGCCAAAGCAAAAAAAAUAUUUAGAGCUAGGAAUCGAACCCAAGACUUCCUGGAUGGAUGCAUGCACGAGUGACCAGUGGGCUGCGAUGGGAGUUUGAUAAACAAAGCAUUUAUACGCAACAUGAACCAUACCCUGGUGCAAGUCUAACGAAACUGGGAACUGAAACAGCGAUAGCUUGCUCUGAACCGUGGCUGCUUGAUCGAUGCGGGGUCAACGCGAACAUACAAGGCAGCGAGGCAUUCGCGCGCAGGGUCGAAGGGGACGCAGUAGGCGCGAGGCAGCUUGCUGGCGAGGGCGAGGCGGAUGCAGGCAAGGAUGACGGCGACGAGCUCCUGUGCUGGGAAACAGAGAGAGCUUGAGACUGGAGGCAGAGGGAAAAAAUGGAGAACAGAGAGAGGGCAACGGGGACGGGGAAGGAAGAGGCACGGCGACAUGACCUGCUGGUCGCCGGCGGCAGCAGGAUGAGGUGGCGUCGGGGUUCAACGUGGGGUCGAGGAGGCAUCGGGCGCGUCGUGGUAGUCUGAAGGUCGGGGUCGCCGGCGGGUUCACGGGAUGCAGCACGGGUACGGCGGCAUCCUCUUGGACUGCUGGAACGAGGGGGCUUGGAGUCUCCGAGCUGCGCGGGCCGAGCUCGGGAUGGCCAUGGCGCUGGAGCUCCUGUUGAGGUACAGAGAGAUGAGGAGAUUAGGGAGAGAGAGAGAUGCAGGGAAGAGGGAACAAAAGGAGAUGGUCGCGAGGGGAUGGCCUGGUGGUGUCCGGUUGCCGACGACGGCGGCGCGAGGGGACGAGGCCGAGCGCUCCUGCUCGGGGCCUCGAGCAGCUACACGAUCCAUUCGGGAUCGAGGAAGAAGAGGUAGGCUUCAGGCGCCUGGGCAAGAAGCAGAGGAGGAGCUCGGGAUCGAGGCUGCAGCAAUUUGGGCAGCGCGCAGAACGAGGGAGGUGGUCGGAGAUCUGGUUGGUGGGAGGGGAUCCCAAGUAAGACAUGAAAGCGGUGGUUGGCUGGCGGCGACGGGAUGGGAAUGGGUGUAUUGGACCAGGUAGGCUAGGGUUAGACUGCUAUAUAUAUAGCAGAUGAAAUCAGUAUAGGGCGGUUAGGUCCCUCCGAUCGUAAUCGGACGGACGGGAAAAAUAGGUUAGGUAGCCCAAAAAGAAAAACGGAGACGUUUUGUAGAUGUUUGGGGAUGAUCCGGGCACAACAGGGGCGACAGCCCCGGUCGGGUCCGGGACAACUUUCGGACGCUCACGUGAGGGGUUCGAUGCACUGUGUAGAGAGGGUUUCGGACCGUGCGGUCGCAUCGGACAACUCCGGAAGCGAAGAGGGGAAGGAGGAUGGACUAGGUGGGCUGUGGCGAGACUGCGAGGGGGAGGAGGGAGAGAGAGGGCCCGGCAUCUGUUUCCGGAGACCGAAAACGUCCGACGUUAGACUGGUUAUAAUGCCGCUAUAGUUAUCCGUUGGGGCGUCAAACGAACUCCGAAUGCGAUGAAAUUUGACAGGCGGUCUAUCUACACUAUAAUAAGACCACACGUCAACUCUCAUCCCAUUCCGAGAACAUUUUCCGGCCACUUAUAAAAUAAUAUUUCGGACGUGUCGCGGGCACGUGCAAGUGUGUCUGGGCUCAGAACGGACAACGGACGGAACUGGGGGAACCCGAACGGAUGCAAGUUUCAAAAACAUGAUGAUGCAAUGCACAUGAUGACAUGAUGAAAUGCAACACGCAAGCAAAAGACAAGGCAACAACAGCGAAAAACUGAAGGACACCUGGCACAUCGGUCUCGGGGCGUUACAGGUUUCAAUCACGUAAAUAUCGAAUCAUACGAUGGCACAACAGAUCCCGUUGUAUGGAUUGAGGAUUUCUUCCUUCACAUACACAUGGCUCGCGGUGAUGAUCUCCAUGCCAUCAAGUACCUCCCACUAAAACUCAAAGGACCAGCUCGGCAUUGGCUGAAUAGCUUGCCAGCAGAUUCCGUUGGCAAUGGGGAGGAUCUGGAAGAUGCAUUUCUUGACAACUUCCAGGGCACUUAUGUGCGGCCACCGGAUGCUGAUGACUUGAGCCACAUAACCCAAUAGCCAGGGGAAUCGGCCAGACAAUUCUGGACACGAUUCCUGACUAAGAAAAAUCAAAUUGUAGACUGUCCGGAUGCAUAGGCCCUAGCGGCAUUCAAGCAUAACAUCCACGACGAGUGGCUCGCCCGCCACCUCGGCCAGGAAAAGCCGAAAUCUAUGGCAGCCCUCACGACACUCAUGACCUGCUUCUAUGCGGGCGAGGACAGCUGGCUGGCUCACAGCAACAACACAUCGAGGAAUCCGGAUACCUCGGAUACCAAAGAUGUUAACGGUAGGCAGCGUCGUAAUAGACCAAAGCGCCGCAAUUAUGGCGAUAACACCGAAGAUACGGUUAAUGCCGGAUUCAGAGGCUCUGGAUCUGGUCAGCGGAAAAAGCCAUUUAAAAGAAAUACUCCGGCUCCGUCCAGUCUGGAUCGCAUACUGGAUCGCUCGUGUCAAAUCCACGGCACCCCCGACAAGCCAACCAAUCACACCAACAGAGAAUGCUGGGUGUUCAAGCAGGCCGGCAAGUUAAAUGCCGAGAACAAGGACAAGGGGCUGCAUAGCGAUGACGAGGAGGAGCCCCGGCCGCCGAACACAGGAGGACAGAAGGGGUUUCCCCCUCAAGUGAAGACGGUGAACAUGAUAUACGCAACCCACAUUCCCAAUAGGGAGCGGAAACGUGCACUAAGGGACGUCCAUGCGAUGGAGCCCAUCGCCCCAAAGUUCAACCCAUGGUCUGCUUGUCCGAUCACCUUUGAUCCCAGGGACCACCCCACUAGCAUCCGUCAUGGCGGAUCCGCCGCACUGAUCCUAGACCCCAUCAUUGACGGAUUUUACCUCACUCAAGUCCUUAUGGAUGGCGGCAGCAGCCUGAACCUGCUUUAUCAGGAUACAGUGCGAAAAAUGGGUAUCGAUCCCUCGAGGAUCAAACCCAGCAAAACCACCUUUAAAGGCGUCAUCCCAGGUGUAGAGGCCCAUUGCACAGGCUCAAUCACACUGGAAGUGGUUUUCGGAUCACCGGAUAACUUCCGAAGCGAAGAGUUAAUCUUCGGCAUCAUCCCAUUUCGUAGGGGCUAUCAUGCACUGCUCGGACGGACAACAUUUGCAAAAUUCAAUGCAGUGCCGCAUUACGCAUACCUCAAGCUCAAGAUGUCAGGACCUCGCGGGGUCAUAACAGUAAAUGGAAACACAGAACGCUCGCUCCGUACAGAAGAGCACACUGUGGCCCUUGCAGCAGAGGCACAAAGCAGCCUGUUCAGGCAGACCACUCAUUCGGCAUCACAGCCCCCGGACACCUUGAAGCGAGUCCGGAACAAGCUGCAACAGGAUCGCCUGGCACGAUCAAAGCUCGCCUAGCAAUCCGGCCCCCGUCCCAGUCACAGUGAAGCGACGAAAUCUAUGCCGCGCGUACAUAACUACGCAUUGAAAAUACCAUGGACACAGACGGGGGCGUAAUUAGGACACGCCCCGCAUUGUGGCUUAACCACACUAGGGGUUGUAUACCUUUGACAUUCCUUUUCUCUUUCAGGGCCUAACUCUUUGGAAGCCCUUUCCGGCAGUUCGAUUGCCGGACACAUUACGGAAGCAACAACCAAGGCGGCAAGAAGCUAAGAUGAACACGGGAACCGCCAGGUGGUCUCUAGUAAUACUCGAUAUACCUACUUUUCACUAUUUAUGCAUAGCUUGCCCUGGGAUAGGACAUUUCGAAUUGUCCUACUUUAUGCUUAUUGCACUACUUGUACCAGUACACUUCGACGUAUUAUUCAAAUAACAAUGCAUAUCAUUAAUCUGUCAUUGCAUUAUUUAAGUUUUUCUCUUUCUCUUAUAUGUCCAUUUACGACAAUCCACACCCGCACGUUCGGGUACGGUCAGUAUGCCAGGGGCUCUCGUUUACCCCAUAAUACGGCGCAAGAAGUCCGAACACUUUCGACAGUGCGGCGCCCCGAACUUAUAGCAUUAUAUGCAUCAGCUCCGAAUCAUGUCUUUGGUCAAAUGUUGGGUUGCCCGGCUCCCAUGCUUUGGUACCUCACGUUCCGCUAUAUCGGCUAAGGUAGCGGUGGGAGAACUACUGCGAUUGUGUCCCGGUUCUUCCGGAUGAGCACCUCAGUAGAGAAAGCCAAAAACUGACUGUCAUAAUAAGGCGAGAGACUGGUCGCUGUUCGAGAGGUCUCAAGUCCUUAAAGACUUUUUCCGCUUCGGGCGAGGAGUCGGCCUUGUCCGGCUUAGGCGUGUAUAGCACCCCAAAUUCGGCCCUCCGAAUACCAGGGGCUUCGCCAAAAAUUUAAAAUCAUAGACUUCUAUGGCUAAGUGAGAGUGAUAAAGCAUUAUAGUCCAAUUGUCUGGUUCGUUGCGCUGAACACCUCCCUUGAAGGACCCAAAAUUGGGAUAAAGAGUGUUUAGAUUUACCCCGAACACCCCAGUACUAGUUACAUGGGGAUAGAAGCCGAUGACUGGACAACUCUCAGAUUUUUAUAAAUAGCCGCACAUAAGGUAAUAUUUUAAAUUAAGAAAGUGUCGCAUGGCGCAAACGAACUAGUUUCAUAUUACAGGAUCACAAGGGCAUAUUCAUUCAAAAAUUACAUCCUUGGCACACUCAUCUGCCACUAAGCGGGAACCCUUCAGGACACUCUCAUAGUAAUUCUCGGGGCAGCGAUGCUCCUUGCCCUCCGGCAGCCCCUCCUUCACCAGCUUCAUGGCGUCCAGCUUCGCCCAGUGCACCUUCGCCAGGGCAAAAGCCCUGCGUGCACCUUCAAUGCAGACGGAUCGCUUGAUGACUUCAAGCCGUGGGCAGGCUUCCACAAGCCGCCUCACCAGACAGAAGUAGCUGCCGGACAGGGGCACGCCAGGCCACAUCCGGACUAUAAGGCCCCUCAUGGCCUGUUCGGCCGCCUUGUGAAGUUCGACCAACUGCUUCAGCUGGUCGCUCAAGGGCACGGGGUGUUCGGUCCCAGUAUACCGAGACCAGAAAAACUUCUCCAUUGAGCUCCCCUCCUCAGCCCGGUAAAACUCCGCGGCAUCCAGUACACUGCGGGGAAGAUCUGCAAACGCUCCUGGAGAGCUCCGAACUCGAGUAAGAAAAAGGAAAGUCUCCCUCACGUGCUUGCUUUGCAUAAAGAAUGUCUUACCCUCUACUAUCUUAUUCACCACGUCAAUCUCCUGGAGGGCCUUAUGGGCUUCGGCCUUGGCGCUCCGGACGCUUUCAAGCGCCAGCGCGAGCUCGGACUCUCGCGUCUUAGAGUCAAGCUCAAAGGACUCAUGCUUUUUGGCAAGAGCCUCGAGCUCUUGCUGCACCUCCCCCACCCGGGCUUCUUGCUUCUCCCGUUCAAUGCGUUCUUUGGCCGCUUUGUCUUCGGCCUCAGACAACUGAAAGAUCAUGGAUGUCGCCUAGGGGGGUGAAUAGGCGCUUUAAAAUAAUUACGGUUUAGGCUUGAACAAAUGCGGAAUAAACCUAGCAGUUAAUUUGCCAAGCACAAAACCUAAAACAACUAGGCUCACCUAUGUGCACCAACAACUUAUGCUAAGCAAGAUAAACUACUAGGUGAUAGCAAGAUAUAUGAUAAGAAACAAUAUGGCUAUCACAAAGUAAAGUGCAUAAGUAAAGAGCUCGGGUAAGAGAUAACCGAGGCACGCGGAGACAAUGAUGUAUCCCGAAGUUCACACCCUUGCGGAUGCUAAUCUCCGUUUGGAGCGGUGUGGAGGCACAAUGCUCCCCAAGAAGCCACUAGGGCCACCGUAAUCUCCUCACGCCCUCGCACAAUGCAAGAUGCCGUGAUUCCACUAAGGGACCCUUGAGGGCGGUCACCGAACCCGUCCAAAUGGCAACCCUUGGGGGCGGUCACCGAACCCGUACACUUUGGCAACCCUUGGGGGCGGUCACCGGUACCCGUCAAAUUGCUCGGGGCGAUCUCCACAACCUAAUUGGAGACCCCGGUGCUUGAUAGGAGCUUUACACCACAAUGAUUGAGCUCCGAACAACACCAACCGUCUAGGGCGCCAAGGCACCCAAGAGGAACAAGCUCUAGGGUGCCCAAACACCCAAGAGUAAUAAGCUUCUCAAACUUCACUUCCACGUAUCACCGUGGAGAACUCAAACCGAUGCACCAAAUGCAAUGGCAAGGGCACACGGAGUGCCCAAGUCCUUCUCUCUCAAAUCCCACCGAAGCAAUUAAUGCUAGGGAGGAAAAUGAGAGGAAGAACAAGAAGGAGAACACCAAGAACUCCAAGAUCUAGAUCCAAGGGGUUCCCCUCACCUAGAGGAGAAAGUGAUUGGUGGAAACGUGGAUCUAGAUCUCCUCUCUCUUUUCCCUCAAAAACUAGCAAGAAUCCAUGAAGGGAUUGAGAGUUAGCAAGCUCGAAGAAGGUCAACAAUGGGGGAAGAACACGAGCUAAAAAGGAUAAGGUUCAUUGGGGAAGAAGACCCCCUUUCAUAGGUGGGGAAAAAUCCAACCGUUAUGCUCACAGCCCGCACAGAGCGGUACUACCGCUCCAAGGAGCGGUGCUACCGCUAGGGCGGUAGUACCCCUUUGAAAAACAACAACGAGGAGGCAAAAGGCCAGUAGAACCGCCGGAGCGGUACUAUCGCUCGUCCUCAUGGUACUACCGCUAGGGAUCGAGGUACUACCGCAAAGGGUAGCGGUACUACUGCUAGCGAGCGGUACUAAAAAAAUACAUCCGGGCCUACCACCGCAGGACUUGGGACGAGUUUUUGGUCUGGAGCGGUACUACCGUUGUAGGAGCCGCGGUAGUAUCGCUCUGGAGCGGUAGUAAAAAAUUACAUCCGCUCCAAAUCGCGGUAGUACCACUGCAGCCCUUUCAGAACACCAAAACUGCCAUAACUUUCACUAGUGGCUUCUCUCAAGAGCAUAAGUAUUCUACGGUGGGUGAACAAAUUACGUUGAGCAAUUGACAGAAUUGAGCAUAGUUAUGAGAAUAUCUAGGCAUGAUCAUGUAUAUAGGCAUCACGUCCGUGACAAGUAGAUCGAAACGAUUGUGCAUCUACUACUAUUACUCCACUCAUCGACCACUAUCCAGCAUGCAUCUAGAGUAUUAAGUUAAAAACAAAGUAACGCCUUAAGCAAGAUGACAUGAUGUAGAGAGAUAAAUUCAUGCAAUAUGAAAUAAACCCCAUCUUUUUAUCCUCGAUGGCAAUGAUACAAUACGUGCCUUGCUUCCCCUUCUGUCACUGGGUAAGGACACCGCAAGAUCGAACCCAAAGCUAAGCACUUCUCCCAUGGCAAGAACUACCAAUCUAGUUGGCCAAACCAAACGGAUAAUUCGAAGAAACUUGCAAAGAUAACCAAUCAUACAUAAAAGAAUUCAGAGAAGAUUCAAAUAUUAUUCAUAGAUAGACUUGAUCAUAAACCCACAAUUCAUCGAUCUCAACAAACACACCGCAAAAAGAAGAUUAUAUUGAAUAGAUCUUCACAAGAGAGGGGAAGAACUUUGUAUUGAGAUUCAAAGAGAGAGAAGAAGCCAUCUAGCUACUAACUAUGGACCCCGAAGGUCUGAGGUAAACUACUCACACUUCAUCGGAGGGGCUAGUAUGAUGUAGAAGCCCUCCGUGAUGACGGCCCUCUUCCGGCGGAGCUUUGGAACAGGCCCCAAGAUGGGAUCUCGUGGAUACAGAAAGUUGCGACGAUGGAAUUAGGUUUUUGGCUCUUGUUCUGAUCGUUUGGGGGUACGUGUGUAUAUAUAGGAGGAAGAAGUACGCCAGAGGAGCAAUGAGGGGCCCAUGAGGCAAGGGGCGCGCCCUAAGAGGGGGGGGCACCCCCACCCUCAUGACCACCUCUUUUGUUCCUUGGAGCAGGGUCCAAGUCUCCUGGAUCACGUUCGGUGAGAAAAUCACGUUCCCGAAGAUUUUAUUCCGUUUGGACCCCGUUUGAUAUUCCGUUUAUCUGAAACACUGAAAUAGGCAAAAAACAACAAUUCUGGGCUGGGCCUCCGAUUAAUAGGUUAGUCCAAAAAAUAACAUCAAAGUGGAAAAUAAAGCCCAAUAUAGUCCAAAACAGUAGAUAAUAUAGCAUGGAGCAAUCAAAAAUUAUAGAUACAUUGGAGACGUAUCAUACUACUGCUGUAGGAGCCGCGGUACUACCACUCUGGAGCGGUAGUAAACAAUUACAUCCGCUCCAAAUCGCGGUAGUACCGCUGCAGCCUUUUCAGAACACCAAAUCUGCCACAACUUUUGCAAACGGACUCCGAAUUCGGCGAAACCAAAUUUGUUGGAAAGCUAGCGACAAGGGCUAAUACAAUCUUGAUGGAAAUACCAAUAAGAAGCAAAUGAGAAAAGUGUUGGGGAACGUAGUAAUUUCAAAAAUUUCCUACGCACACUCAAGAUCAUGGUGAUGCAUAGCAACGAGAGGGGAGAGUGUUGUCUACGUACCCUCGUAGACCGAAAACGGAGGAGGGGGAGGGCCGGCCCUCUCUAUGGCACGCCCUAGGGGAGUCCUACUCCCACCGGGAGUAGGAUUCCCCCUUUCCUAGUAGAACUAGGAGCCCUUCCAAGUAGUAGGAUUAGGAGGGAAGGAAAGGGAAGGGAAAAGGAGAAGGAAGGAAGGGGGCGCCCCCUUCCCUAGUCCAAUUCGGACCAGCCCAUGGGGAGGGGUGCGGCCACCCUUUGAGGCCUUUCUCUCCUUUCCUGUAUGGCCCAUUAAGGCCCAAUACGAAUUCCUGUAACUCCCCGGUACUCCCGAAAAUACCCGAAUCACUCGGAAAGUUUCCGAUGUCCGAAUAUAGUCGUCCAAUAUAUCGAUCUUUACGUCUCGACCAUUUCGAGACUCCUCGUCAUGUCCCCGAUCUCAUCCGGGACUCCGUACUCCUUUGGUACAUCAAAACACAUAAACUCAUAAUAUAACCGUCAUCGAACUUUAAGCGUGCGGACCCUACAGGUUUGAGAACUAUGUAGACAUGACCGAGACACGUCUCCGGUCAAUAACCAAUAGCGGAACCUGGAUGCUCAUAUUGGCUCCUACAUAUUCUACGAAGAUCUUUAUCGGUCAAACCGCAUAACAACAUACGUUGUUCCCUUUGUCAUCGGUAUGUUACUUGCCCGAGAUUCGAUCAUCGGUAUCUCAAUACCUAGUUCAAUCUCGUUACCGGCAAGUCUCUUUACUCGUUCCGUAAUACAUCAUCCCGCAACUAACUCAUUAGUUGCAAUGCUUGCAAGGCUUAUAGUGAUGUGCAUUACCGAGUGGGCUCAGAGAUACCUCUCCGACAAUCAGAGUGACAAAUCCUAAUCUCAAAAUACGCCAACCCAACAAGUACCUUCGGAGACACCUAUAGAGCACAUUUAUAAUCACCCAGUUACGUUGUGACAUUUGGUAGCACACAAAGUGUUCCUCCAGUAAACGGGAGUUGCAUAAUCUCAUAGUCAUAGGAACAUGUAUAAGUCAUGAAGAAAGCAAUAGCAAUAAACUAAACGAUCAAGUGCUAUGCUAACGGAAUGGUUCAAGUCAAUCACAUCAUUCUCCUAAUGAUGUGAUCCCGUUAAUCAAAUGACAACUCAUGUCUAUGGUUAGGAAACAUAACCAUCUUUGAUCAACGAGCUAGUCAAGUAGAGGCAUACUAGUGACACCCUGUUUGUCUAUGUAUUCACACAUGUAUUAUGUUUCCGGUUAAUACAAUUCUAGCAUGAAUAAUAAACAUUUAUCAUGAUAUAAGGAAAUAAAUAAUAACUUUAUUAUUGCCUCUAGGGCAUAUUUCCUUCAGUCUCCCACUUGCACUAGAGUCAAUAAUCUAGUUCACAUCGCCAUGUGAUUUAACACCAAUAGUUCAAAUCACCAUGUGAUUAACACCCAUAGUUCACAUCGUCAUGUGACCAACACCCAAAGGGUUUACUAGAGUCAAUAAUCUAGUUCACAUCGCUAUGUGAUUAACAACCCAAAGAGUACUAAGGUGUGAUCAUGUUUUUCUUGUGAGAGAAGUUUAGUCAACGGGUCUGCCACAUUCAGAUCCGUAAGUAUUUUGCAAAUUUCUAUGUCAACAAUGCUCUGCACGGAGCUAUUCUAGCUAAUUGCUCCCACUUUCAAUAUGUUUCCAGAUUGAGAUUUAGAGUCAUCUGGACCAGUGUCAAAAUUUGCAUCGACGUAACCCUUUACGACGAACCUUUUUGUCACCUCCAUAAUCGAGAAACAUAUAUUUAUUCCACUAAGGAUAAUUUGACCAUUGUCCAGUGAUCUACUCCUAGAUCACUAUUGUACUCCCUUGCCAAAAACAGUGUAGGGUAUACAAUAGAUCUAGUACACAGCAUGGCAUAUUUUAUAGAACCUAUGGCCAAGGCAUAGGGAAUGACUUUUAUUCUCUCUCUAUCUUUUGCCGUGGUCGGGUUUUGAGUCUUACUCAACUUCACACCUUGUAACACAGGCAAGAACUCUUUCUUUGACUGUUCCAUUUUAAACUACUUCAAAAUCUUGUCAAGGUAUGUACUCAUUGAAAAACUUAUCAAGCGUCUUGAUCCAUCUCUAUAGAUCUUGAUGCUCAAUAUGUAAGCAGCUUCACCGAGGUCUUUCUUUGAAAAACUCCUUCCAAACAUUCCUUUAUGCUUUGCAGAAUAAUUCUACAUUAUCUCCGAUCAACAAUAUGUCAUUCACAUAUACUUAUCAGAAAUGCUGUAGUGCUCCCACUCACUUUCUUGUAAAUACAGGCUUCGCCGCAAGUCUGUAUAAAACUAUAUGCUUUGAUCAACUUAUCAAAGCGUAUAUUCCAACUCCGAGAUGCUUGCACCAGUCCAUAGAUGGAUCGCUGGAGCUUGCAUAUUUUGUUAGUACCUUUAUGAUUGACAAAACCUUAUGGUUGCAUCAUAUACAACUCUUCUUUAAUAAAUCCAUUAAAGAAUGCAGUUUUGUUUAUCCAUUUGCCAGAUUUCAUAAAAUGCGGCAAUUGCUAACAUGAUCCGGACAGACUUAAGCAUAGAUAUGAGUGAGAAACUCUCAUCGUAGCCAACACCUUGAACUUGUCAAAAACCUUUUUGCGACAAUUCUAGCUUUGUAGAUAGUAACACUACUAUCAGCGUCCGUCUUCCUCUUGAAGAUCUAUUUAAUCUCAAUGGCUCACCGAUCAGUGGGAAAGUCAAUCAAAGUCCAUACUUUGUUCUCAUACAUGGAUCUCAUCUCAGAUUUCAUGGCCUCAAGCCAUUUCGCGGAAUCUGGGCUCAUCAUCGCUUCCUAUAGUUCGUAGGCUCGUCAUGGUCAAGUAACAUGACCUCCAGAAUAGGAUUACCGUACCACUCUGGUGCGGAUCUCACUCUGGUUUACCUACGAGGUUCGGUAGCAACUUGAUCUGAAGUUACAUGAUCAUCAUCAUUAGCUUCCUCACUAAUUGGUGUAGUAGUCACAGGAACAUAUUUUUGUGAUGAACUACUUUCCAAUAAGGGAGCAAGUACAAUUACCUCAUCAAGUUCUACUUUCCUCCCACUCACUUCUUUCGAGAGAAACUCCUUCUCUAGAAAGGAUCCAUUCUCAGCAACGAAUAUCUUGCCUUCGGGUCUGUGAUAGAAGGUGUACCCAACAUUUUCUUUUUGGGUAUCCUAUGAAGACACACUUCUCCGAUUUGGGUUUGAGCUUAUCAGGUUGAAACUUUUCCACAUAAGCAUUGCAAUCUCAAACUUUAAGAAACGACAACUUUGGUUUCUUGCCAAACCACAGUUCAUACGGUGUCGCCUCAACGGAUUUAGGUGGUGCCCUUUUUAAUGUGAAUGCAGCUGUCUCUAAUGCAUAACCCCAAAACUAUAGUGAUUAAUCGGUAAGAAACAUCAUAGAUUGCACUAUAUCCAAUAAUAGUACGGUUAUGAUGUUCGGACACACCAUUAUGCUGUGGUGUUCCAGGUGGCAUGAUUUUGUGAAACUAUUCCACAUUGUUUUAAUUGAAGACCAAACUCGUAACUCAAAUAUUUGUCUCUGCGAUCAGAUCGUAGAAACUUUAUUUUCUUGGCACGAUGAUUUUCCACUUCACUCUGAAGUUCUUUGAACUUUUCAAAUGUUUCAGACUUAUUAUUCAUCAAGUAGAUAUACCCAUAUCUGCUCAAAUCAUCUGUGAAGGUCAGAAAAUAACGAUACCCGCCGCGAGCCUCAACACUCAUCGGACUGCAUACAUCAGUAUGUAUUAUUUCCAAUAUGUCAGUUGCUCGCUCCAUUGUUCCGGAGAACGGAGUCUUAGUCAUCUUGCUCAUGAGGCAUGGUUCGCAAGCAUCAAAAUGAUUCAUAAUCAAGUGAUUCCAAAAGCCCAUCGGCAUGGAGUUUCUUCAUGCGCUUUACACCAAUAUGACCUAAACGGCAGGGCCACAAAUAAGUUGCACUAUCAUUAUUAACUUUGCAUCUUUUGGCUUCAAUAUUAUGAAUAUGUGUAUCACUACGAUCGAGAUUCAAUGAACUAUUUUCAUUGGGUGUAUGACCAUAGAAGGUUUUAUUCAUGUAAACAGAACAACAAUUAUUCUCUAACUUAAAUGAAUAACCGUUUUGCAAUAAACAUGAUCAAAUCAUAUUCAUGCUCAACGCAAACACCAAAUAACAUUUAUUUAGGUUUAACACUAAUCCCGAAAGUAUAGGGAGUGUGCGAUGAUGAUCAUAUCAAUCUUGGAACCACUUCCAUCACACAUCGUCACUUCACCCUUAACUAGUCUCUGUUCAUUCUGCAACUCCCGUUUCGAGUUACUACUCUUAGCAACUGAACCAGUAUCAAAUACCGAGGGGUUGCUAUAAACACUAGUAAAGUACACAUCAAUUACAUGUAUAUCAAAUAUAGCAUUGUUCACUUUGCCAUCCUUCUUAUCCGCUAAAUACUUGCAGUUCCGCUUUUAGUGACCAGUCCCUUUGUAGUAGAAGCACUUAGUCUCAGGCUUAGGUCUAGACUUGGGCUGCUUCACUUGAGCAGCAACUUGCUUGCCGUUCUUCUUGAAGUUCCCUUUCUUUCCAUUUGCCUUUUUUUUGAAACUAGUGGUCUUGUUAAUCAUCAACACUUGAUGCUCUUUCUUGAUUUCUACCUUCAUCGAUUUCAUCAUCAUGAAAAGCUCAGGAAUCGUUUUCAUCAUCCCUUGCAUACUAUAGUUCAUCACGAAGUUGUACUAACUUGGUGAUGGUGACUAGAGAAUUCUGUCGAUCACUAUUUUAUCUGGAAGAUUAACUCCCACUUGAUUCAAGCGAUUGUAGUACCCAGACAAUCUGAACACAUGCUCACUGCUUGAGCUAUUCUCCUCCAUCUUUUAGCUAUAGAACUUGUUGGAGACUUCAUAUCUCUCAACUCGGGUAUUUGCUUGAAAUAUUAACUUCAACUCCUGGAACAUCCAUAUGAUCCAUGACGUUCAAAACGUCUUUGAAGUCCCGAUUCUAAGCUGUUAAGCAUGGUGCACUAAACUAUCAAGUAGUCAUCAUAUUGAGCUAGCCAAACGUUCAUGACGUCUGCAUCUGCUCCUGCAAUAGGUCUGUCACCUAGCGGUGCAUUAAGGACAUAAUUCUUCUAUGCAGCAAUGAGGACAUCAUUGCUACUAACAUUUUUCAACAUAGUUUUCUCUAGGAAUAUAUAAAAAAUUAAACGUGGAGCAAUAUCGCAAGCAAUUGAUCUACAACAUAGAUAUGCUAAUACUACCAGGACUAAGUUCAUGAUAAAUUUAAGUACAAUUAAUCAUAUUACUUAAGAACUCCCACUUAGAUAGACAUCCCUCUAAUCAUCUAAGUGAUCACGUGAUCCAAAUCAACUAAACCAUAACCGAUCAUCACGUGAAAUGGAGUAGCUUUCAAUGGUGAACAUCAUUAUGUUGAUCAUAUCUACUAUAUGAUUCACGCUCGACCUUUCGGUCUCAGUGUUCCGAGGCCAUAUCUGCAUAUGCUAGGCUCGUCAAGUUUAACCUGAGUAUUCUGCGUGUGCAAAACUGGCUUGCACCUGUUGUAGAUGGACGUAGAGCUUAUCACACCCGAUCAUCACGUGGUGUCUGGGCACGACGAACUUUGGCAACGGUGCAUACUCAGGGAGAACACUUUUAUCUUGAAAUUUAGUGAGAGAUCAUCUUAUAAUGCUACCAUCAAUCAAAGUAAGAUAAGAUGCAUAAAAGAUAAACAUCACAUGCAAUCAAAAUAUGUGACAUGAUAUGGCCAUCAUCAUCUUGUGCCUUUGAUCUCCAUCUCCAAAGCAUCGUCAUGAUUUCCAUCAUCACCGGCAUGACACCAUGAUCUCCAUCAUCUUGAUCUAUAUCAAUGUGUCGUCACAUGGUCGUCUCGCCAACUAUUGCUCUUGCAACUAUUGCUAUCGCAUAGCGAUAAAGUAAAGCAAUUAUUUGGCGCUUGCAUCUUAUGCAAUAAAGAGACAACCAUAAGGCUUCUGCCAGUUGCCGAUAACUUAAAAAAACAUGAUCAUCUUAUACAACAACUUUUAUCUCAUCACGUCUUGACCAUAUCACAUCACAACAUGCCCUGCAAAAACAAGUUAUGCGUCCUCUACUUUGUUGUUGCAAGUUUUACGUGGCUGCUACGGGCUUAGUAAGAACCGUUCUUACCUACGCAUCAAAACCACAACGAUAGUUUGUCAAGUUGGUGAUGUUUUAACCUUCGCAAGGACCGGGCGUAGCCACACUCGGUUCAACUAAAGUUGGAGAAACUGACACCCGCUAGUCACUUGUGUGCAUAGCACGGCGGUAAAACCAGUCUCGCGUAAGCGUACGCGUAAUGUCGGUCCGGGCCGCUUCAUCCAACAAUACCGCUGAACCAAAGUAUGACAUGUUGGUAAGCAGUAUGACUUAUAUCACCCACAACUCACUUGUGUUAUACUCGUGCAUAUUACAUCAACACAUAAAACCUGGCUCUGACACCACUGUUGGGGAACGUAGUAAUUUCAAAAAUUUCCUACGCACACUCAAGAUCAUGGUGAUGAAUAGCAACAAGAGGGGAGAGUGUUGUCUACGUACCCUCGUAGACCGAAAGCGGAAGCGUUAGCAUAACGUGGUUGAUGUAGUCGUACGUCUUCACGAUCCGACCGAUCAAGUACCGAACGCACGACACCUCCGAGUUCUGCACACGUUCAACUUGAUGACGUCCCUCGAACUCCGAUCCAGCCGAGUGUUGAGGGAGAGUUUCAUCAGCACGGUGGCGUGGUGACGAUGAUGAUGUUCUACCGACGCAGGGCUUCGCCUAAACACCGCUACGAUAUGAAUGAGGUGGAUUAUGGUGGAGGGGGGCACCGCACACGGCUAAGAGAUCAAGAAAUCAAUUGUUGUGUCUUUGGGGUGCCCCCUGCCCUCAUAUAUAAUGGAGUGGAGGAGGGGGAGGGCCGGCCCUCUCUAUGGCGCGCCCUAGGGGAGUCCUACUCCCACCGGGAGUAGGAUUCCCCCUUUCCUAGUAGAACAAGGAGCCCUUCCAAGUAGUAGGAGUAGGAGGGAAGGAAAGGGAAGGGAAAAGGAGAAGGAAGGAAGGGGCGCCCCCUUCCCUAGUCCAAUUCGGACCAGCCCAUGGGGAGGGGUGCGGCCACCCUUUGAGGCCUUUCUCUCCUUUCCUGUAUGGCCCAUUAAGACCCAAUACGAAUUCCCAUAACUCCCUGGUACUCCCGAAAAUACCCGAAUCACUCAGAACCUUUCUGAUGUCCGAAUAUAGUCGUCCAAUAUAUCGAUCUUUACGUCUCAACCAUUUCAAGACUCCUCGUCAUGUCCCCGAUCUCAUCCGGGACUCCGAACUUUUUUGGUACAUCAAAACACAUAAACUCAUAAUAUAACCGUCAUCGAACUUUAAGCGUGCGGACCCUACGGGUUCAAGAACUAUGUAGACAUGACCGAGACAUGUCUCCGGUCAAUAACCAAUAGUGGAACCUGGAUGCUCAUAUUGGCUCCUACAUAUUCUACGAAGAUCUUUAUCGGUCAAACAGCAUAACAACAUACGUUGUUCCCUUUGUCAUCGGUAUGUUACUUGCCCGAGAUUCGAUCGUCGGUAUGUCAAUACCUAGUUCAAUCUCAUUACCGGCAAGUCUCUUUACUCGUUCCGUAAUACAUCAUCCCGCAACUAACUCAUUAGUUGCAAUGCUUGCAAGGCUUAUAGUGAUGUGCAUUACCGAGUGGGCCCAGAGAUACCUCUUCGACAAUCGGAGUGACAAAUCCUAAUCUCGAAAUACGCCAACCCAACAAGUACCUUCGGAGACACCUGUAGAGCACAUUUAUAAUCACCCAGUUACGUUGUGACGUUUGGUAGCACACAAAGUGUUCCUCCGGUAAACGGGAGUUGCAUAAUCUCAUAGUCAUAGGAACAUGUAUAAGUCAUGAAGAAAGCAAUAGCAAUAAACUAAACGAUCAAGUGCUAUGCUAACGGAAUGGGUCAAGUCAAUCACAUCAUUCUCCUAAUGAUGUGAUCCCGUUAAUCAAAUGACAACUCAUGUCUAUGGUUAGGAAACAUAACCAUCUUUGAUCAACAAGCUAGUCAAGUAGAGGCAUACUAGUGACACUCUGUUUGUCUAUGUAUUCACACAUGUAUUAUGUUUCCGGUUAAUACAAUUCUAGCAUGAAUAAUAAACAUUUAUCAUGAUAUAAGGAAAUAAAUAAUAACUUUAUUAUUGCCUCUAGGGAAUAUUUCCUUCAAAAAGGCCCAAAAGAAAAUGAUGAGAACCCUUCCUCGGAUAAGACCGGUAAAACCUCCAACACCGAAAACAUCAUAGAAGACGCAUGCAAACUCCGUUUUCGAUGAACUCAAAGCUUGUCAUCAAGAUGACCAUAAGCUCUAAGACUCACAAAGAGAACCAAAUAAGAACCAAGAAACAUGAUGCAAGGAUGCAAUGGUUUGAGCUCUCGAUGAACGAUAUGAUCAAGCUACUCACUUGAGAGCCCCCCUUGAUAGUAUGACUAUCGAUCCUAUAAUCCGGUCUCCCAACUACCACCAUGAGACCAGUAGAAUAGAAAACCUAUCAAGGGAAAACCUUUGCCUUGCACAUGAUCCACUUGAGCUAGAUGAUGACGAUCUUGUCCUCCUCAAGAUGGACCACCUUUCUUGAUUGUGUUGGGUCGAUGGAGACUAGAUGAUUGCUCCCCCAUACUCCACUAUGGGUGAGCCACUCUUCAGCACAUCUUCACAAGUCCAUUGGCACAUAUGGCAAGCUUCAAGCACUUGAUCUCUCCGUGAUUCUCCACUUGAACUUGCACACGACAAUCUUGAUGACGAUCACCACUUGAUGUCAUCCUUCCCAUGGGUUGUAUGAUAUCAUCCUCUUGACGCAAGCCCAUGGACACGUACCUAACCCCACAUAGACUCUCACAUAGACCAUGGGUUAGUACACAAAGUGCAAUGGACAAUGCUUACCAUACCAUGGGAUCACUUGAUCCCUCUCGGUACAUCUUCUACUCUUUGUGAGUUGAUCAACUUGAUUCACUCUUGACUUAGUCUUGAUCAACCUUGAAUCUUUCCAACUCUCUUCGUUUGGAUGAUGUCUUGAAGGUAAACAUGAAUGAUCACACAAUCUUCUUCUUGAAGACAUGCUUGCAAUAAGCUCAACACUCACAUGACCAAUCUUUGGAUAAUUCCUUAGUAGCACCUUGGUCAACCCAUAAACUCCUUGAAACCAACACAUGGACUUCAAGACAUGCCUAUGGAAAAAUCCUUCAAAUAUAACUCAAUGCAACCAUUAGUCCAUAGAGAAUGUCAUCAAUUACCAAAACCACACAUGGGGGCACCGCAUGUCCUUUCAACAACGCCUUCCUCAGGGUCUCCACCUCGGUUGUGGCCCCUGACAAAUUCAUGAUGAUCCUAUUACUUUACACCCAAACUUCUUUUUAACUAUAUAGACAAGGGUAUAUCUUGCCUUUGCUCUCUUCGAGCUGCCUCUUGGUAAGGCCGAGCUCGUCCUCGGACCGCUUCAGGUCCUGCUUCAGUGCAGAGACCUCCGCAGUACGUGCGGCAGUGGCCAGCAGUGAAGCCUGCACAUACACAUAAACAUACUCUAAUUAGACUCCUGAGUUAUCAUUUGAUACUCUAUUCGGCUUUUCUUCGCAAACGCCGAACAGAGCAUCAGGGACUACUAUCUAUGCGGUAAUAUUUUCUUAUAUUUUGAAUGCUUACCUCAAAGCCUGUUAGGAGGCCGGCGCAAGUUUCGGUCAGUCCGUUCUUGGCGGACUGAACCUUCGCGACCACCGCACUCAUGAUAGUGCGGUGCUCUUCUUCGACGGAAGCGCUGCGAAACACUUCCAGCAGGGUGUCCGGUGCCUCUGGUUGGAUAGAGGACACCGGCAUGGAUGGUUCCCCUUAAUGGGGGACCGUCUGCUGGAGUCCGGAACCAUUGGAGGUUCCGGCGCAGUGUUCGGCUGGGGCCCGAACUCGAAGCCCGUAGGAGCCUCACUCCCUUGGUACCCAGGGCCCAGGAGGUCGCCGUGAGGUGCCCCCAGGAUCACCUCCCCUUGGCUCGGUGCCUUUUGAGACAACACCUCGGCGUUGUCCGUAGGGCGAGGGGUGGAAGCGGUCAGAGGAGAACUGCUGUUCAUAUCCGACGAGUCCAAAGAGCCGCUCGACGAGGGUACGUCGAGAUGAGCUCGGGACGGACUACAUAAUCAUGUUUGGCAUGAGGAAAGGCAGUACAAUAAAACAUACCAUGAAGUACUAUGGUGUUUGGACACUUACAACUUCGCCAGGGGCUUGUCCCUGGGUAGCCACUCGUCACCACUGUCGGCGGCCAUCGUGGCAUAGUCCGAAGGGAGGGUCUUUCCCUUCUUGGACCCUUCGGCCUCCCUGGAUGGGCCGGCCUUCCUUUUCUUUUCUCCCCCGGCUGGGGGGGAGAACUUUUCUCCCCUCCUCUUUAUGUGGGAGGAGUUUGCGUCGGAGUCAUCAGACGAUGAGUCCGAUAUAACCUUGCGUCGGAGACCCUUUCGGGUCCCCGUGGCCUUCUUCUUGGCCUUCUUUUCCGGCACCUCGUAAGGUGCCGGAGUCAGCAUCUUCGUUAGAAGAGCGUCAACAUGAUCUUCGGGCAGGGGGCUAGGCAAUCAAGCUGCUCCGCUGUCUCUAUCUAGUCUUGUUAAUGACAUAAAAGCUUAGAUCCAGCACAUAACUAAACCAGGGCGAAUAAAUACCCUGAGAGAUAUAAAAUCCUACCAGAUGGGCGCGGCGCUUUGCGCUGAGUCCGUGGUCCUCAGUGAGGGAGGGAGGCAUCUCGUCACCCUUGAACAACACCCUCCAUACGUCCUCGUGCGUCAUGUCGUAGAGCUCUCUCAGCGUCUGAUGCUUGGCCGAGUCGAACUCCCACAAAACAAAUGCCCGUCGUUGACACGGAAGGAUCCAGCGGAAGAGCAUAACCUGGACCACGUUGACGAGCUUGAUUUUCUUGUUCGUCAUGUUCUGGAUGCAGGUCUGGAGUCCGGUCAGCUCUACCGAAGAAUCCUAGGACAAGCCCUUCUUUUUCCAGGAGGUGAGCCGCGUGGGGAUUCUGGAUCAAAAUUUGGGGCCGCCACCCAGUUGGAGUCGCGCGGCUCGGUGAUGUAGAACCACCUCGAUUGCCACCCGUUUAUGGUAUCCACGUAGGUGCCCUCGAGCCAGGUGACAUUAGGCAUCUUGCCCACCAUGGCGCCUCCGCACUAUGCUUGCUGGCCACCCACCACCUUCAGUUUGACAGUGAAGGUUUUCAGCCAUAGGCCGAAGUGGGGCCUGAUGCGGAGGAAGGCCUCGCACACGACGAUAAACGCCGCGAUGUUGAGGAUGAAAUUGGGGGCCAAAUCAUGAAAAUCCAGCCCGUAGUAGAACAUGAGCCCGCGGAGAAACGUGUGGAGAGGAAAUCCCAGUCCGCGGACGAAAUGGGUAAGAAAAACUACCCUCUCAUGGGGUUCAGGCGUGGGGACGAUCUGCCCCGCAUUUGGCAGCCGGUGCGCGAUAUCCGCGGCCAAGUAUCCGGCUUCCCGUAACUUUUUGAUGUUCUCCUCCGUGACGGAGGAGACCAUCCACUUGUCUCCUGCUCCGGACAUGAUUGGAGUGGUUUGAGAAGAAGAACGCGAGCUUGGGCACUAGAGCUCGCGUGUGCGGGAGUGGGUAAGCGAGAAGGAAGAAGGCGUGGGUGAAAAAAGUAAAUCUUUGUCCCUUUAUAAGGACGGAGGAGGCGAUGUGUCUCCCCACUUGCCUGGCAAAACCACUUAUUCCCCAGGCACUGUAAUUGAUGGCGCGGUUGGGUUACCCACGUCCGUAUUGAUGAGAAUCCUGUGAUAAGGGGAACACGAUCUCUGCUUUGACAAGACAUAUCAAGAAAACCGCCUCGCGAUAUGUGCAGAGCUGGUUGAGAAAAGCGGUUCGAAUAAUAACCGAGCCAUGUUAUGAUGUCAUGCUGUCAAAACGUGUCAGCAAAUUAGAUUUGUGGAAAUAUUAUUCCCUCUACGGUGGUAUGUGGAACUUAUUUUGCAGGGUCGGACACUAUCCUUGCGUUCAAACUCUUCCAUGGUGUAUUCCGAGGAGGAACCCGCCUUGCAAUGCCGAAGACAACACUGCGCGCCGGACUCAUCGUCAUUGAAGCCUGGUUCAGGGGCUACUGAGGGAGUCCUGGAUUAGGGGGUCUCCAGACAGCCGGACUAUAUCCUUUGGCCGGAUGUUGGACUAUGAAGAUACAAGAUUGAAGACUUCGUCCCGUGUCCGGAUGGGACUCUACUUGGCGUGGAAGGCAAACUAGGCAAUACUGAUAUGUAUAUCUCCUCCUUUGUAACCGACCUUGUGUAACCCUAGCCCCCUCCGGUGUCUAUAUAAACCGGAGGGUUUUAGUCCGUAGGACAACAUACAAUCAUACCAUAGGCUAGCUUCUAGGGUUUAGCCUCUUUGAUCUCGUGGUAGAUCAACUCUUGUAAUACUCAUAUCAUCAAGAACAAUCAAGCAGGAUGUAGGGUAUUACCUCCAUCGAGAGGGCCCGAACCUGGGUAAACAUCGUGCCCCUGCCUCCUGUUACCAUCCGCCUUAGACGCAAAGUUCGGGACCCCCUACCCGAGAUCCGCCGGUUUUGACACCGACAUUGCCCUUUCGCGCUUAUCUUCGACAAUCAUGUUGUGCAAGAUUAACAACAUGUUAUCAGCUUCCACAAUAUAUGUGGUUCCCACAUCAUUGUAGUUUCACGAAGAAUGCCCUAAUGAGAUUGGAGCACUACGAAUGCGCUCCUCACAUCUUUCUGUUGGAGAUAUAUCCUAGAGGCAAUCAUGUG
This 28933-nucleotide long non-coding RNA is filed under the name Triticum aestivum (bread wheat). RNAcentral's name for it is "long non-coding RNA (TAES_LNC014955)". Lineage: Eukaryota; Viridiplantae; Streptophyta; Magnoliopsida; Poales; Poaceae. The record is from RNAcentral.